AAUACCCUUAAAAAGGGAGUGGAUUAUUUUCAUUUAAUCUAAAUUACCUAAGUAUAAAUUCUUUACCUAGGUUUAAUUUCCGAACCAUUCCCCUUCCUCCCGAUUUCUUCCCCCUUCAUGCGCGCGAGCUCUCUUCGUCCCGAGCCGCACCAGCGCCGGCGAUUCCCUCUCCUCUUCUCUCAACGUCGCCGGCGCAGGACAACCCUUGAGUGUUAAGGAGGGAAGUGGCAACCGAUCUUCCUCUCUUCUUCCUUCCUUUCUCGCGCGGAUGAACUCGACAUCGACGGAGAGAUUCUUCCCCGACAAACCUAUUCUCGCCCAGUCGCCUGAGGGAGAGCGCCGGAUCUCAACGGUAUCAUCCAUCUCUGGAGGACCGACCACCUUCUCGGCCUCUCGGCCAUUCCUUAUGCGCGAUCGGCGGUGAUCAAGUGGCUAGGGCACGGCAAGGCUAGAGCCGACGAGGGAGGGGAGAUUCGAGCCUUAGUUGCCUCUUGUGGAUGUCCAGUGCCUUCUCGGCAUCGAAUCUUGGAUCAGGGAGGUCCACUUCACUGGAUUCCGGUUCCUCCUUCUCACUGGUGUUGAUGGGCUGCUGAUCAUAGAGUGGAUGGACUGCCAAAGCAUAAUUGAGGAGAAGUCAUUGGAUCAGCUAGGGAUGGGUUUUCUUGAGCAGAUCCUUAUCUUCUUCAUUCUUGCGCCAUAUUGAGGUUUUGGUUUCAGAUCUGGGGUUGUUUGAGGAAUUCUUUGGUAGCUGUUCGACAGGUGUGUUAUUGGGCUGUGAGUUUGGAUAUGCUGCUACCUCUUAAGGACUUGGGUUCGGGACGAGCAUCUCGAAGUGGAAUUGAUUUAUCUGACGCGGUUGACAGAUAAAGGCGGGUAUUUCUUCCUUGGCUCUAUAUAGAUUUUUAUUGAGCUUAGUGCAUGGUUAUUAUGUGAUGGUUUAGGCUGCUUUACCUUAUAUCAUAUCUGUUUGUUGACUUCCUGCUAGAGACUUAUGCUUGAUCUUUGAGGUGUUCUAUUUAAUUCGUAUACAGUCUAAACUCUUGAUACUCUAUGGUGAUUACACGUGUAGAGUAUGUCCUGUAGGGAUUGUC
Zingiber officinale is the source of this 1091-nucleotide long non-coding RNA. RefSeq lists it as uncharacterized. The transcript has 4 exons. Lineage: Eukaryota; Viridiplantae; Streptophyta; Magnoliopsida; Zingiberales; Zingiberaceae. The record is from RefSeq and is a predicted model, not a curated record.